Molecule: long non-coding RNA, 376 nt
Filed under: Eutrema salsugineum
Lineage: Eukaryota; Viridiplantae; Streptophyta; Magnoliopsida; Brassicales; Brassicaceae
Description: long non-coding RNA (ESAL_LNC000714)
Source: RNAcentral
GGUUCAGUCCAUUAUUGAGGUUGUUCGUCCUCCUUAGGUGCAUCUUGAUGGGCUUCUAAACGAGAUUGGCCAUCCCUUGACUUCUCUUGAUCAGCUUGGGUGAUAGCUUGCAUUAUGAUUUUAUUGACUUCUGUUGAAGUAUCAUAUAUCUUUGUCUUGUCAUAGCUCCUUGAUGAAUGGUCGGCACUUCCACAUCUUGUAGUUGUGGCUCAGUUAAGUUUGGUUCAGCUUGAAAGGCCUCAUCAAUUAGGGAUCUGCUUGUUCAGCCAAUGCGUGAUUGCACACCACGGCCUAUAUGAUAAGGUACGCUUUCCAAAUCUCGCUCCAUUCAAUUUGAAGAGAAAAGACUAAUUAUGAUAUGGGGAGAGACCUUUAC